This 224-nucleotide ribosomal RNA is filed under the name uncultured bacterium. RNAcentral describes it as "partial 16S ribosomal RNA". It matches the Rfam family "Bacterial small subunit ribosomal RNA", at positions 1277 to 1500 of the family's 1533-position model. The record is from RNAcentral.
UAAAAGCCGUCUCAGUUCGGAUUGCAGGCUGCAACUCGCCUGCAUGAAGCUGGAAUUGCUAGUAAUCGCGGAUCAGCAUGCCGCGGUGAAUACGUUCCCGGGCCUUGUACACACCGCCCGUCACACCAUUAGAGUCGGGAACACCCGAAGUCCGUAGUCUAACCGCAAGGAGGGCGCGGCCGAAGGUGGGUCCGGUAAUUGGGGUGAAGUCGUAACAAGGUACC